This 1185-nucleotide ribosomal RNA is filed under the name Triticum aestivum (bread wheat). Its description in RNAcentral is "partial small subunit ribosomal RNA". The record is from RNAcentral. Lineage: Eukaryota; Viridiplantae; Streptophyta; Magnoliopsida; Poales; Poaceae.
AUGCCAGAAGAAUGGAGACGGAGUAUAUUAGUACCAGUCUUCAAGAACAAGGGGGAUGUUCAGAGUUGUACUAAUUACCGUGGAAUUAAGCUGAUGAGCCAUACAAUGAAGCUAUGGGAGAGAGUCAUUGAGCACCAGUUAAGAAUGACAAGCGUGACCAAAAAUCAGUUUGGUUUCAUGCCUGGGAGGUCGACCAUGGAAGCCAUUUUCUUGGUACGACAACUUAUGGAGAGAUAUAGGGAGCAUAAGAAGGACUUGCAUAUGGUGUUCAUUGACUUGGAGAAGGCCUAUGAUAAGAUACCGCGGAAUGUCAUGUGGUGGGCCUUGGAGAAACACAAAGUCCCAGCAAAGUACAUUACCCUCAUCAAGGACAUGUACAAUAAUGUUGUGACAAGUGUUCGAACAGGUGAUGUCGACACCGAUGACUUCCCGAUUAAGAUAGGACUGCAUCAGGGGUCAGCUUUGAGCCCUUAUCUUUUUGCAUUGGUGAUGUAUGAGGUCACAAGGGGUAUACAAGGAGAUAUCCCAUGGUGUAUGCUCUUUGCGGAUGAUGUGGUGCUAGUUGACGAUAGUCGGACGGGGGUAAAUAGGAAGUUAGAGUUAUGUAGACAAACCUUGGAAUCGAAAGGGUUUAGGCUUAGUAGAACUAAAACCGAGUACAUGAUGUGCGGUUUCAGUAAUACUAGCUGUGAGGAGGAGGAGGUUAGCCUUGAUGGCCAGGUGGUACCUCGGAAGGACACCUUUCGGUAUUUGGGGUCAAUGUUGCAGGAGGAUGGGGGUAUUGAUGAAGAUGUGAACCAUCGAAUCAAAGCCGGAUGGAUGAAGUGGCGCCAAGCUUCUGGCAUUCUCUGUGACAAGAGAGUGCCACAAAAGCUAAAAGGCAAGUUCUACAGGACGGCCGUUCGACCCGCAAUGUUGUAUGGCGCGGAGUGUUGGCCGACUAAAAGGCGACAUGUUCAACAGUUAGGUGUGGCGGAGAUGCAUAUGUUGAGAUGGAUGUGUGGUCACACGAGGAAGGAUCGAGUCCGGAAUGAUGAUAUACGAGAUAGAGUUGGGGUAGCACCAAUUGAGGAGAAGCUUGUCCAACAUCGUUUGAGAUGGUUUGGGCAUAUUCAGCGCAGGCCUCCAGAAGCUCCAGUGCAUAGCGGACGGCUAAAGCGUGCGGAGAAUGUCAAGAGAGGGCGG